RNAcentral lists this ribosomal RNA (372 nucleotides) under uncultured bacterium. RNAcentral's name for it is "bacterial SSU rRNA". It matches the Rfam family "Bacterial small subunit ribosomal RNA", at positions 524 to 898 of the family's 1533-position model. The record is from RNAcentral.
UACGGAGGAUCCAAGCGUUAUCCGGAUUUAUUGGGUUUAAAGGGUGCGCAGGCGGAAGAUUAAGUCGGCGGUGAAAUUUUGCAGCUCAACUGUAAAAGUGCCUUCGAAACUGGUUUUCUUGAGUGUGGAUGAAGUAGGCGGAAUUUGUGGUGUAGCGGUGAAAUGCAUAGAUAUCACGAGGAACUCCGAUUGCGAAGGCAGCUUACUAAGCCAUAACUGACGCUCAUGCACGAAGGCGUGGGGAUCAAACAGGAUUAGAUACCCUGGUAGUCCACGCAGUAAACGAUGAUUACUAGCUGUUUGCGAUAUACAGUAAGCGGCUGAGCGAAAGCGUUAAGUAAUCCACCUGGGGAGUACGUUCGCAAGAAUGAA